UCUACUUGAUUGCAGGGGGAUACCUGGUCGCACUGGGGAUGUUGUUCAUACUCUUCAGGAUACCGACCACCCUUUCGGCUGUACCCGUCGUUGCCGGCGUGAUCAUCUUUAUUUUUCCGGAACUGAUCCCGGCUACGUUUGCCGUUUUUUUAGGUCUAUUUGGCUUGAUGCUCUUAUUCGCCUUUCAAUUUGCAGUGACAGGCGUUAUUACUCUGUUCAUUGCUGCCCUUAUCAUCAUCAAUCCCGAUUCGGUAGCGUACCUGAUUG
RNAcentral lists this unclassified non-coding RNA (267 nucleotides) under uncultured bacterium. RNAcentral describes it as "contains 16S-23S intergenic spacer region". The record is from RNAcentral.